UCUCUGAUAGUCCAAUGGUUAAGACUCUGCACUUUCAGUGCGAAGAGUACAGGUUCAAUCCCUGGUCAGGAAA
Molecule: transfer RNA, 73 nt
Organism: Ovis aries (sheep)
Lineage: Eukaryota; Metazoa; Chordata; Mammalia; Artiodactyla; Bovidae
Rfam family: tRNA
About the family: Transfer RNA (tRNA) molecules are approximately 80 nucleotides in length. Their secondary structure includes four short double-helical elements and three loops (D, anti-codon, and T loops). Further hydrogen bonds mediate the characteristic L-shaped molecular structure. tRNAs have two regions of fundamental functional importance: the anti-codon, which is responsible for specific mRNA codon recognition, and the 3' end, to which the tRNAs corresponding amino acid is attached (by aminoacyl-tRNA synthetases). tRNAs cope with the degeneracy of the genetic code in two manners: having more than one tRNA (with a specific anti-codon) for a particular amino acid; and 'wobble' base-pairing, i.e. permitting non-standard base-pairing at the 3rd anti-codon position.
Source: Rfam